CCCCAGAAGCACUGAGCUCUCAGUAAAGGG
RNAcentral lists this non-coding RNA (30 nucleotides) under Homo sapiens (human). Lineage: Eukaryota; Metazoa; Chordata; Mammalia; Primates; Hominidae. The record is from RNAcentral.